AAAAGAGACCUACUUCACAAAACUUACCUCUCAGCUAAAGCAGCCUUUGAUGUAUUAACAGAUGUUCACCUAAACAUGCUCAGACAACUCUCUACUAUAGUUGGUGCUUUGACUCGAAAAAUCUGAAUUAACAUCUUGACUAGGAAAUGCCAUCCUUCGAAAGAGUCUUAUUUGUGCAGAUUGCUCAGCAGAGUUAUAUAUUGCACUUUCACCAACUUUCAUUCCGUUUGUCAAAUCAGACAUUAG
Molecule: unclassified non-coding RNA, 246 nt
Filed under: Hevea brasiliensis (rubber tree)
Lineage: Eukaryota; Viridiplantae; Streptophyta; Magnoliopsida; Malpighiales; Euphorbiaceae
Source: RNAcentral